UGGGGAAUAUUGGACAAUGGGGGGAACCCUGAUCCAGCCAUGCCGCGUGUGUGAAGAAGGCCUUAUGGUUGUAAAGCACUUUAAGCGAGGAGGAGGGUACUGGUAUUAAUACUACCAGCUACUGGACGUUACUCGCAGAAUAAGCACCGGCUAACUCUGUGCCAGCAGCCGCGGUAAUACAGAGGGUGCGAGCGUUAAUCGGAUUUACUGGGCGUAAAGCGUGCGUAGGCGGCUAAUUGAGUCGGAUGUGAAAUCCCCGAGCUUAACUUGGGAAUUGCAUUCGAUACUGGUUAGCUAGAGUGUGGGAGAGGAUGGUAGAAUUCCAGGUGUAGCGGUGAAAUGCGUAGAGAUCUGGAGGAAUCCCGAUGGCGAAGGCAGCCAUCUGGCCUAACACUGACACUGAGGUGCGAAAGCGUGGGGAGCAAACAGG
This 430-nucleotide ribosomal RNA is filed under the name Pseudomonadota bacterium. RNAcentral describes it as "Proteobacteria bacterium partial 16S ribosomal RNA". It matches the Rfam family "Bacterial small subunit ribosomal RNA", at positions 355 to 776 of the family's 1533-position model. The record is from RNAcentral. Lineage: Bacteria; Pseudomonadati; Pseudomonadota.